GGUUGUGGCUCAGCGGUAGAGCACUCGCCUAAUACCUGCGAGACCCUGGGUUCGAUCCUCAGCACCA
RNAcentral lists this transfer RNA (67 nucleotides) under Marmota monax (woodchuck). Its description in RNAcentral is "tRNA.Ile". It matches the Rfam family "tRNA". Rfam says of the family: Transfer RNA (tRNA) molecules are approximately 80 nucleotides in length. Their secondary structure includes four short double-helical elements and three loops (D, anti-codon, and T loops). Further hydrogen bonds mediate the characteristic L-shaped molecular structure. tRNAs have two regions of fundamental functional importance: the anti-codon, which is responsible for specific mRNA codon recognition, and the 3' end, to which the tRNAs corresponding amino acid is attached (by aminoacyl-tRNA synthetases). tRNAs cope with the degeneracy of the genetic code in two manners: having more than one tRNA (with a specific anti-codon) for a particular amino acid; and 'wobble' base-pairing, i.e. permitting non-standard base-pairing at the 3rd anti-codon position. The record is from RNAcentral. Lineage: Eukaryota; Metazoa; Chordata; Mammalia; Rodentia; Sciuridae.